Molecule: ribosomal RNA, 1318 nt
Filed under: Escherichia coli
Lineage: Bacteria; Pseudomonadati; Pseudomonadota; Gammaproteobacteria; Enterobacterales; Enterobacteriaceae
Description: partial 23S ribosomal RNA
Rfam family: Bacterial large subunit ribosomal RNA
Source: RNAcentral
CAUAGGUUAAUGAGGCGAACCGGGGGAACUGAAACAUCUAAGUACCCCGAGGAAAAGAAAUCAACCGAGAUUCCCCCAGUAGCGGCGAGCGAACGGGGAGCAGCCCAGAGCCUGAAUCAGUGUGUGUGUUAGUGGAAGCGUCUGGAAAGGCGCGCGAUACAGGGUGACAGCCCCGUACACAAAAAUGCACAUACUGUGAGCUCGAUGAGUAGGGCGGGACACGUGGUAUCCUGUCUGAAUAUGGGGGGACCAUCCUCCAAGGCUAAAUACUCCUGACUGACCGAUAGUGAACCAGUACCGUGAGGGAAAGGCGAAAAGAACCCCGGCGAGGGGAGUGAAAAAGAACCUGAAACCGUGUACGUACAAGCAGUGGGAGCACGCUUAGGCGUGUGACUGCGUACCUUUUGUAUAAUGGGUCAGCGACUUAUAUUCUGUAGCAAGGUUAACCGAAUAGGGGAGCCGAAGGGAAACCGAGUCUUAACUGGGCGUUAAGUUGCAGGGUAUAGACCCGAAACCCGGUGAUCUAGCCAUGGGCAGGUUGAAGGUUGGGUAACACUAACUGGAGGACCGAACCGACUAAUGUUGAAAAAUUAGCGGAUGACUUGUGGCUGGGGGUGAAAGGCCAAUCAAACCGGGAGAUAGCUGGUUCUCCCCGAAAGCUAUUUAGGUAGCGCCUCGUGAAUUCAUCUCCGGGGGUAGAGCACUGUUUCGGCAAGGGGGUCAUCCCGACUUACCAACCCGAUGCAAACUGCGAAUACCGGAGAAUGUUAUCACGGGAGACACACGGCGGGUGCUAACGUCCGUCGUGAAGAGGGAAACAACCCAGACCGCCAGCUAAGGUCCCAAAGUCAUGGUUAAGUGGGAAACGAUGUGGGAAGGCCCAGACAGCCAGGAUGUUGGCUUAGAAGCAGCCAUCAUUUAAAGAAAGCGUAAUAGCUCACUGGUCGAGUCGGCCUGCGCGGAAGAUGUAACGGGGCUAAACCAUGCACCGAAGCUGCGGCAGCGACGCUGAUGCGUUGUUGGGUAGGGGAGCGUUCUGUAAGCCUGUGAAGGUGUGCUGUGAGGCAUGCUGGAGGUAUCAGAAGUGCGAAUGCUGACAUAAGUAACGAUAAAGCGGGUGAAAAGCCCGCUCGCCGGAAGACCAAGGGUUCCUGUCCAACGUUAAUCGGGGCAGGGUGAGUCGACCCCUAAGGCGAGGCCGAAAGGCGUAGUCGAUGGGAAACAGGUUAAUAUUCCUGUACUUGGUGUUACUGCGAAGGGGGGACGGAGAAGGCUAUGUUGGCCGGGCGACGGUUGUCCCGGUUUAAGCGUGUAGGCU